AUGAAUGCAUGUUCGCCCCAUUUUUCUCGUAGCUGCGCCGCUGGUCGUUGCGAUGCCGUCAGGCAUGUGACGCGCAGCACGACGGUAAGAGCCGAGCCGCUUGUCCCGGUCGACGGGGCAGCGGCUUUUUUU
Molecule: non-coding RNA, 132 nt
Filed under: Burkholderia multivorans
Lineage: Bacteria; Pseudomonadati; Pseudomonadota; Betaproteobacteria; Burkholderiales; Burkholderiaceae
Also listed under: 1 other name
Description: BcKCsr2
Rfam family: Burkholderia sRNA 2
About the family: Upregulated in response to iron ion depletion. Predicted targets include MerR family transcriptional regulator.
Source: RNAcentral